This 305-nucleotide ribosomal RNA is filed under the name uncultured bacterium. Its description in RNAcentral is "bacterial SSU rRNA". It matches the Rfam family "Bacterial small subunit ribosomal RNA", at positions 338 to 639 of the family's 1533-position model. The record is from RNAcentral.
CCUACGGGAGGCAGCAGUGAGGAAUAUUGGUCAAUAGCCGAGAGGCUGAACCAGCCAAGUAGCGUGCAGGAUGACGGCCCUCGUGGUUGUAAACUGCUUUUAGUCGGGAAUAAAAGGGGGUUCGUGAAUCCCGUAUUGUAUGUACCGUCAGAAAAAGGACCGGCUAAUUCCGUGCCAGCAGCCGCGGUAAUACGGAAGGUCCGGGCGUUAUCCGGAUUUAUUGGGUUUAAAGGGUGCGCAGGCGGCCUGUUAAGUCAGCGGUAAAAGCCCGGGGCUCAACCCCGGCGAGCCGUUGAAACUGGCGG